AGCUUCUGUCAUGGAUUCCUGCUUAUGAAUAGAUAAAACAGUGUACUGAAAGCUGCUGGGCAAAACUGUUGUGCUGAAUCCUUGGCAAGUUUCAGAAAGACAAACGCGAUGUUGUCAGACCAUCACCCAGUACAGUUGCAGUCACUCAACAGGCCAAAAGCAAGAUCCUGAUCUUGGGCAUCUCAGGAGCUGGACAUGAUGGCCCUGGGGAGUUCCUUCCAUCUCAGGAUAAUCUGAUUGCUGAACUGCUACUUACAGCUUUUCACAGCCUUCCUACUUGUUCUUGUUCAGUGCGUCUGUUUGAAAGUGUCUUGAAGAUGAAGUUAUUUCCUGGAGGAAUUCUGAAGGCAACAAGAAGCAUUUUCUCAAGGAGGGAAAAAAAAAAAACCAAACCCUGGAGUGACUUGUGCCUAAAUCCUGGAGCAGAACAGAGUGGCAGCCAGGGCUGCUUACCAGUCUUAAGGAUCCGGGUGCUGGAAUCAAUGCUGCUGUCAGCCAAACUGCUCCGUGCUAAUGCUGACAGCAUUUUUGCCUUUUUGUCUCUCUGGGGAUUCUCAAGUAGGAAAGAAAACUGUGGUGUUACUGCUGGGAGGAUUUUUCCUGAUCCUGAGGGAAUCCAUUCUGGAAGCUUGAUCCAAAUGACAGCUGCCUCCAAUUACCACUCUACACAUUGCUGUGGUUAUUUGGUUACAAUCAAGACUGGAGGCUUGAUGACAGCUAGAAGUACCAGCAAGGAAACCUCAGAUGGUUCAGGCUACAGCAGCAUGGGUGCAGGACAACCUGGAUGAAAGUCAGCAGAACAUCUACAGGGCUAAUUAGGACCAUGACCUUGAAAAGGCAUUUUCCAGUACUGUUCACUUAGGUUGAAGCUAGAGACAGAGGAAGGUAUGCACUUCCCAUUAUGAGUGCUACUCCUAAGUUUUCCAACAGGUGCCAAGUAUGGUGGCUUUGAAAUGUAUUUUGGAGAGCUGACAAAGUGGUUAAAGCAGAUAAUUCAUAACAGGCUGUACUAAGACCAAAAAAACCCCACCAACUGGAGUGGUCAUUAAUUUGUGAGGUGAGCAGGCAGCACUCACCAAGCAAGUGGUGCACUGCCUGUUUCCCAGCCUGCCUCCAAACAUCUGCGCGCCUCAGAAGCAAGUGUAAUGUUAUUCUCCCAAGGUGACCCCCUGCUCUGCACUGCAGGAGAAUGAUGGUGAUGUUACAGGCUGGAAUGGAGUAGCAGAAGGUGAGUUGUUUGAAGGUGAAAUCCCAUACUUAUCUACUGCCGUGCUUUCUUUGUGAGGACCUGCAAACCCAUGGGGUGGUCUUUCUCUUUUCAUUCCUCUGCCUGUAUGCUUGGCUGAACCCCAGUGACUGAGCUGCAAGAAAGACCUUACAGUCUGCUGGGAUGGAGGAGCAUCCAGAGAGCCUGGGAGACACCCAAUGUCCCCAGGCACUGAUGUACCCUCUCUAAUACCCACAG
Gallus gallus (chicken) is the source of this 1465-nucleotide long non-coding RNA. The record is from Ensembl. Lineage: Eukaryota; Metazoa; Chordata; Aves; Galliformes; Phasianidae.